RNAcentral lists this ribosomal RNA (253 nucleotides) under uncultured bacterium. RNAcentral's name for it is "partial 16S ribosomal RNA". It matches the Rfam family "Bacterial small subunit ribosomal RNA", at positions 524 to 776 of the family's 1533-position model. The record is from RNAcentral.
UACGAAGGGUGCUAGCGUUGCUCGGAAUCACUGGGCGUAAAGCGCACGUAGGCGGAUUGCUAAGUCAGGGGUGAAAUCCUGGAGCUCAACUCCAGAACUGCCCUUGAUACUGGCGGUCUCGAGUCCGGGAGAGGAGAGUGGAAUUCCUGGUGUAGCGGUGAAAUGCGCAGAUAUCAGGAGGAACACCGGUGGCGAAGGCGGUUCUCUGGGCCUGUACUGACGCUGAGGAGCGAAAGCGUGGGGAGCGAACAGG